CCGACAGCAAACUGCCAGACGCCCAAUCAGGAUAUGAAAAAGCUCUGACCAUCGCAAUGGCCGCGCAGGCUGGCGCCAAUAUCAU
This 85-nucleotide non-coding RNA is filed under the name marine eukaryotic metagenome. RNAcentral describes it as "Pyrrolysine insertion sequence mttB". It matches the Rfam family "Pyrrolysine insertion sequence mttB", at positions 5 to 89 of the family's 100-position model. The record is from RNAcentral.